This 495-nucleotide ribosomal RNA is filed under the name uncultured bacterium. Its description in RNAcentral is "partial 16S ribosomal RNA". It matches the Rfam family "Bacterial small subunit ribosomal RNA", at positions 30 to 507 of the family's 1533-position model. The record is from RNAcentral.
UGAACGCUGGCGGCGUGCCUAAUACAUGCAAAUCGAGCGAACAGAUGCGGAGCUUGCUCCUCUGACGUUAGCGGCGGACGGGUGAGUAACACGUGGAUAACCUACCUAUAAGACUGGGAUAACUUCGGGAAACCGGAGCUAAUACCGGAUAAUAUAUUGAACCGCAUGGUUCAAUAGUGAAAGACGGUUUUGCUGUCACUUAUAGAUGGAUCCGCGCCGCAUUAGCUAGUUGGUAAGGUAACGGCUUACCAAGGCAACGAUGCGUAGCCGACCUGAGAGGGUGAUCGGCCACACUGGAACUGAGACACGGUCCAGACUCCUACGGGAGGCAGCAGUAGGGAAUCUUCCGCAAUGGGCGAAAGCCUGACGGAGCAACGCCGCGUGAGUGAUGAAGGUCUUCGGAUCGUAAAACUCUGUUAUUAGGGAAGAACAAAUGUGUAAGUAACUAUGCACGUCUUGACGGUACCUAAUCAGAAAGCCACGGCUAACUACGUG